AUGAGUUCCUGCCUUUCCCAUAUCAUCAAAGAUCAUUCCUUGGAUUUUGUUUGUUUGCAAGAAACCCAUAAGAAGAGUUUCCAAGAUAGCUACUUUAGGAAGAUUGAUCCUUACAAUGCUUUUGAGUGGGAGUGGACCCCAUCUGUUGGGAGAUCUGGUGGUAUUUUGUGUGGGGUCAGGAAAGAAAGGUUUGAGGUUAUAGCAUGGAGAAAAGGCAAGUUCAUUCUUCAGGUUUCUAUUUAUGACAUCAAAGUUAAGAAAGUGUGGACCUUGUGCACUGUUUAUGGGGUAGCCCAUGACUGUGACAAGUAGGAUUUUCUCACUGAGCUAGCUGAUUUUUGUACUCAUGUGCAAACACCUCUGCUAGUAGGGGGAUUUUAA
RNAcentral lists this ribosomal RNA (381 nucleotides) under Triticum aestivum (bread wheat). RNAcentral's name for it is "partial small subunit ribosomal RNA". Lineage: Eukaryota; Viridiplantae; Streptophyta; Magnoliopsida; Poales; Poaceae. The record is from RNAcentral.